RNAcentral lists this ribosomal RNA (307 nucleotides) under uncultured bacterium. RNAcentral describes it as "bacterial SSU rRNA". It matches the Rfam family "Bacterial small subunit ribosomal RNA", at positions 27 to 302 of the family's 1533-position model. The record is from RNAcentral.
GAUGAAACGCUGGCGGCGUGCCUAAACACAUGCAAAGUCGAAACGAAAGCGCCUGGCCCCGACUUCUUCGGAACGAGGAGCCUUGCGACUGAGUGGCGGACGGGUGAGUAAACGCGUGGGCAACCUGCCUUGCACUGGGGAUAAACAGCCAGAAAAUGGCUGCUAAAUACCGCAUAAAGACCGAAGCGCCGCAUGGCGCGGCGGCCAAAAGCCCCGGCGGUGCAAAGAUGGGCCCGCGUCUGAUUAGGUAGUUGGCGGGGUAAACGGCCCACCAAAGCCGACGAUCAGUAGCCGACCUGAGAGGGUG